This is a long non-coding RNA of Melanotaenia boesemani (Boeseman's rainbowfish), 285 nucleotides long. RefSeq lists it as uncharacterized. Lineage: Eukaryota; Metazoa; Chordata; Actinopteri; Atheriniformes; Melanotaeniidae. The transcript is spliced from 3 exons. The record is from RefSeq and is a predicted model, not a curated record.
GCAAAUGUACUGAGGAAUGGAUGUGGAAAGUUUUGUUCUCUUUCGAGGAGGAAAACGAGUUACGCUGAAUGGCAGUGACAUGUCAGUGGACAAGAUAUGCAGAAUUUUCCAGCUUUAUACGCAGACCCUCGUCUUCUUCUGCACCCACUGAAACACCACAAGCUUCAACUUCACGAUCCAGUUUUCCAACAAGAGUGUUCCAAAGGUCGAUACACAUUGCAGAAAUUGUGAAUGACAAAUUAAAAGCUGCCAGGACCGUGGUCAUUCGCUUCAUGGAAUCUGAUG